Molecule: ribosomal RNA, 358 nt
Filed under: uncultured Streptococcus sp.
Lineage: Bacteria; Bacillati; Bacillota; Bacilli; Lactobacillales; Streptococcaceae
Description: bacterial SSU rRNA
Rfam family: Bacterial small subunit ribosomal RNA
Source: RNAcentral
GGUACAUCGGUGACAGGUGGUGCAUGGUUGUCGUCAGCUCGUGUCGUGAGAUGUUGGGUUAAGUCCCGCAACGAGCGCAACCCCUAUUGUUAGUUGCCAUCAUUCAGUUGGGCACUCUAGCGAGACUGCCGGUAAUAAACCGGAGGAAGGUGGGAUGACGUCAAAUCAUCAUGCCCCUUAUGACCUGGGCUACACACGUGCUACAAUGGUUGGUACAACGAGUUGCGAGUCGGUGACGGCGAGCUAAUCUCUUAAAGCCAAUCUCAGUUCGGAUUGUAGGCUGCAACUCGCCUACAUGAAGUCGGAAUCGCUAGUAAUCGCGGAUCAGCACGCCGCGGUGAAUACGUUCCCGGGCCUU